RNAcentral lists this microRNA precursor (97 nucleotides) under Paramuricea clavata. Lineage: Eukaryota; Metazoa; Cnidaria; Anthozoa; Malacalcyonacea; Plexauridae. The record is from RNAcentral.
UUUAUACGUCGAAUUUUGGUCGUGUCAAAUGCAAUUAAGACAAUAGAUUAUCUAUUUUUUGAAUUGCAUUCGACGCGACCGAAAUUCGACGUAUAAA